UACCAGCACCCCGAGUGGUCGGGACGUUUAUUGGGCCUAAAGCAUCCGUAGCCGGUUCUACAAGUCUUCCGUUAAAUCCACCUGCUUAACAGAUGGGCUGCGGAAGAUACUAUAGAGCUGGGAGGCGGGAGAGGCAAGCGGUACUCGAUGGGUAGGGGUAAAAUCCGUUGAUCCAUUGAAGACCACCAGUGGCGAAGGCGGCUUGCCAGAACGCGCUCGACGGUGAGGGAUGAAAGCUGGGGGAGCAAACCGG
This 253-nucleotide ribosomal RNA is filed under the name uncultured bacterium. RNAcentral describes it as "partial 16S ribosomal RNA". It matches the Rfam family "Archaeal small subunit ribosomal RNA", at positions 474 to 727 of the family's 1478-position model. The record is from RNAcentral.